UACGGAGGGUGCAAGCGUUAUUCGGAAUUACUGGGCGUAAAGCGCGCGUAGGCGGCUCACUAAGUCUGAUGUGAAAUCCCUGGACUCAAUCCAGGAAGUGCAUUGGAUACUGAUGGGCUGGAGUAUGGGAGAGGAGAGCGGAAUUGCUGGUGUAGAGGUGAAAUUCGCAGAUAUCAGGAGGAACAACAGAGGCGAAGGCGGCUCUCUGGACCAUAACUGACGCUGAGGCGCGAAAGCGUGGGGAGCAAACAGG
This 253-nucleotide ribosomal RNA is filed under the name uncultured bacterium. Its description in RNAcentral is "partial 16S ribosomal RNA". It matches the Rfam family "Bacterial small subunit ribosomal RNA", at positions 524 to 776 of the family's 1533-position model. The record is from RNAcentral.